This 186-nucleotide long non-coding RNA is filed under the name Monodelphis domestica (gray short-tailed opossum). RNAcentral describes it as "lncRNA (ENSMODG00000030848.2)". The record is from RNAcentral. Lineage: Eukaryota; Metazoa; Chordata; Mammalia; Didelphimorphia; Didelphidae.
CUUGAUUUCAUUAUAACUGUAUCCUUCCCUUUUUCCUUUCAGAGCAAAUUUCUAAUGAUCAGGAGAGCCUGCUGAUGACAUUGCUCCAUAUGAGGCACAAGAUUCAAAUAAAGACUGAAAGAUUAAAUGGUAUGUGAAAACCAAAAUUCUCUUAACUUUUAGGAGAAUUAUAGGUUCCUAAUUUGA